AGCCUCUAAAGAAAGUCCACUCGAAGCUCCGAUCUGAUCGAUCUUCUCGAGAGUGCUAGCUCACGCGAUGACCUUCUUCUUGGUAGAUCUGGAUCCCUUCUUCAAAUCUCUAAAAUCUUUCUAUAAGUUGAAGAUGAAAUUUUGGAGAAAAAAAUGAGGUAGAAGAAAGAUGGAGAAGAAACUAUUUUUUUUUUAUUUUUCUCUCUUCCCAAACCCUGGGGUAGGAACCCUAGAAGACUAGGUUUUGAGCACACCCC
RNAcentral lists this long non-coding RNA (257 nucleotides) under Elaeis guineensis (African oil palm). Its description in RNAcentral is "long non-coding RNA (EGUI_LNC062121)". Lineage: Eukaryota; Viridiplantae; Streptophyta; Magnoliopsida; Arecales; Arecaceae. The record is from RNAcentral.